This 30-nucleotide non-coding RNA is filed under the name Homo sapiens (human). Lineage: Eukaryota; Metazoa; Chordata; Mammalia; Primates; Hominidae. The record is from RNAcentral.
GCUGUUGACAGAGAAAACAAGGUGGUGAAC